RNAcentral lists this ribosomal RNA (1344 nucleotides) under uncultured bacterium. Its description in RNAcentral is "16S ribosomal RNA". It matches the Rfam family "Bacterial small subunit ribosomal RNA", at positions 28 to 1378 of the family's 1533-position model. The record is from RNAcentral.
GACGAACGCUGGCGGCGUGCUUAACACAUGCAAGUCGAACGGAAAGGCCCUGCUUUUGUGGGGUGCUCGAGUGGCGAACGGGUGAGUAACACGUGAGUAACCUGCCCUUGACUUUGGGAUAACUUCAGGAAACUGGGGCUAAUACCGGAUAGGAGCUCUUGCUGCAUGGUGGGGGUUGGAAAGUUUCGGCGGUUGGGGAUGGACUCGCGGCUUAUCAGCUUGUUGGUGGGGUAGUGGCUUACCAAGGCUUUGACGGGUAGCCGGCCUGAGAGGGUGACCGGCCACAUUGGGACUGAGAUACGGCCCAGACUCCUACGGGAGGCAGCAGUGGGGAAUAUUGCACAAUGGGCGGAAGCCUGAUGCAGCAACGCCGCGUGCGGGAUGACGGCCUUCGGGUUGUAAACCGCUUUCGCCUGUGACGAAGCGUGAGUGACGGUAAUGGGUAAAGAAGCACCGGCUAACUACGUGCCAGCAGCCGCGGUGAUACGUAGGGUGCGAGCGUUGUCCGGAUUUAUUGGGCGUAAAGGGCUCGUAGGUGGUUGAUCGCGUCGGAAGUGUAAUCUUGGGGCUUAACCCUGAGCGUGCUUUCGAUACGGGUUGACUUGAGGAAGGUAGGGGAGAAUGGAAUUCCCGGGGGAGCGGUGGAAUGCGCAGAUAUCAGGAGGAACACCAGUGGCGAAGGCGGAUCUUUGGGCCUUUCCUGACGCUGAGGAGCGAAAGCGUGGGGAGCGAACAGGCUUAGAUACCCUGGUAGUCCACGCUGUAAACGGAGGGUACUAGGUGUGGGGUCCAUUCCACGGGUUCCGUGCCGCAACUAACGCUUUAAGUACCCCGCCUGGGGAGUACGGCCGCAAGGCUAAAACUCAAAGGAAUUGACGGGGCCCCGCACAAGCGGCGGAGCAUGCGGAUUAAUUCGAUGCAACGCGUAGAACCUUACCUGGGUUUGACAUGGAUCGGGAGUGCUCAGAGAAUGGGUGUGCCUCUUUUGGGGUCGGUUCACAGGUGGUGCAUGGCUGUCGUCAGCUCGUGUCGUGAGAUGUUGGGUUAAGUCCCGCAACGAGCGCAACCCUUGUUCACUGUUGCCAGCACGUUAUGGUGGGGACUCAGUGGAGACCGCCGGGGUCAACUCGGAGGAAGGUGGGGAUGACGUCAAGUCAUCAUGCCCCUUAUGUCCAGGGCUUCACGCAUGCUACAAUGGCUGGUACAGAGAGUGGCGAGCCUGUGAGGGUGAGCGAAUCUCGGAAAGCCGGUCUCAGUUCGGAUUGGGGUCUGCAACUCGACCUCAUGAAGUCGGAGUCGCUAGUAAUCGCAGAUCAGCAACGCUGCGGUGAAUACGUUCCCGGG